RNAcentral lists this ribosomal RNA (322 nucleotides) under uncultured eukaryote. Its description in RNAcentral is "partial 18S ribosomal RNA". It matches the Rfam family "Eukaryotic small subunit ribosomal RNA", at positions 1470 to 1796 of the family's 1831-position model. The record is from RNAcentral.
CCCUUAGAUGUUCUGGGCCGCACGCGUGCUACACUGAGUGGAUCAGCGGGUCAGGUUGCGCGAAAGUGUUUCCUAAUCUUUAAAUCCGCUCGUGAUGGGGAUUGACGGUUGCAAUUUUCCGUCAUGAACGAGGAAUACCUUGUAAGCGCGGGUCAUCAUCCCGCGCUGAAUACGUCCCUGCCCUUUGUACACACCGCCCGUCGCUCCUACCGAUCGAGUGGUCCGGUGAGGCUUUGGGAUCUGAGCGGAAAGAGCGUUUCGCUGUUUCUGCCCGGAAAACUCAGUCGAACCUUAUCAUUUAGAGGAAGGAGAAGUCGUAACA